UCAGGAUGAACGCUAGCGACAGGCCUAACACAUGCAAGUCGAGGGGGCAGGCGCGGGAGAAGCUUGCUUUCCUGGCGGCGACCGGCGCACGGGUGCGUAACAGGUGUGCAAUCUGUCCAUAGUCGGGGGAUAGCCCAGCGAAAGCUGAAUUAACACUCCAUGUGAAUCGAAGCCGCAUGACUUUGAUUUGAAACGCAAGGACUAUGGGUGAGCACGCUUCUGAUUAGGUAGUUGGUGGGGUAACGGCCCACCAAGCCGACGAUCAGUAGGGGUUCUGAGAGGAAGGUCCCCCACAUUGGAACUGAGACACGGUCCAAACUCCUACGGGAGGCAGCAGUGAGGAAUAUUGGUCAAUGGGCGAGAGCCUGAACCAGCCAAGUCGCGUGAAAAGGAUGAAGGUUCUAUGGAUUGUAAACUUCUUUUGUCCGAGGGUAAAAAAGGUCACGUGUGACUUCUUGCAAGUAUCGGACGAAUAAGCAUCGGCUAACUCCGUGCCAGCAGCUGC
Molecule: ribosomal RNA, 505 nt
Filed under: uncultured bacterium
Lineage: Bacteria
Description: bacterial SSU rRNA
Rfam family: Bacterial small subunit ribosomal RNA
Source: RNAcentral